Molecule: ribosomal RNA, 449 nt
Filed under: uncultured bacterium
Lineage: Bacteria
Description: partial 16S ribosomal RNA
Rfam family: Bacterial small subunit ribosomal RNA
Source: RNAcentral
GUCGAGAAUCUUUCACAAUGGGGGCAACCCUGAUGGAGCGACGCCGCGUGGAGGAUAAGGUCUUCGGAUUGUAAAAUCCUGUCAUGCGUGAACAAGGUUGCUUGGUCAAUACCUGGGCAAAUUGAUGGUAACGCAAGAGGAAGAGACGGCUAACUCUGUGCCAGCAGCCGCGGUAAUACAGAGGUCUCAAGCGUUGUUCGGAAUCACUGGGCGUAAAGGGGGCGUAGGUGGCGUGGUAAGUCAGAUGUGAAAGGCCGGGGCUCAACCUCGGAACUGCAUCCGAUACUGCCAUGCUAGAGUACUGGAGAGGUGACUAGAAUUCUCGGUGUAGCAGUGAAAUGCGUAGAUAUCGAGAGGAAUACCAAAGGCGUAGGCAGGUCACUGGACAGUUACUGACACUGAGGCACGAAGGCCAGGGGAGCGAACGGGAUUAGAAACCCUGGUAGUCC